Molecule: ribosomal RNA, 305 nt
Filed under: uncultured bacterium
Lineage: Bacteria
Description: bacterial SSU rRNA
Rfam family: Bacterial small subunit ribosomal RNA
Source: RNAcentral
GUGCCUACGGGGCGCAGCAGUAGGGAAUCUUCCACAAUGGACGAAAGUCUGAUGGAGCAACGCCGCGUGAGUGAAGAAGGGUUUCGGCUCGUAAACCUCUUUUGUCGGGGAGCAAGACCCGCCUCGUGCAGGCGGAGCGAGAGUACCCGAAGAAAAAGCAUCGGCUAACUCCGUGCCAGCAGCCGCGGUAAUACGGAGGAUGCGAGCGUUAUCCGGAUUUAUUGGGUUUAAAGGGUGCGCAGGCGGACCAUCAAGUCAGCGGUAAAAUCGUGGGGCCCGACCCCAUCCCGCCGUUGAAACUGGCG